This 253-nucleotide ribosomal RNA is filed under the name uncultured bacterium. RNAcentral's name for it is "partial 16S ribosomal RNA". It matches the Rfam family "Bacterial small subunit ribosomal RNA", at positions 524 to 776 of the family's 1533-position model. The record is from RNAcentral.
AACGUGGGUUCCGAGCGUUAUCCGGAUUUACUGGGCGUAAAGCGCGUUCAGGCGGUUUGGCAAGUCGGGCAUGAAAUCUCUCGGCUCAACCGGGAGAGGUUGUCCGAUACUGCUGGACUUGAGGGCAGUAGAGGGUGGUGGAAUUCCGGGUGUAGUGGUGAAAUGCGUAGAUAUCCGGAGGAACACCAGUGGCGAAAGCGGCCACCUGGACUGCACCUGACGCUGACACGCGAAAGCUAGGGGAGCGAACGGG